UGGCGAAAGCCUGACGGAGCAAUACCGCGUGAGGGAGGAAGGCUCUUGGGUCGUAAACCUCUUUUCUCAGGGAAGAACACAAUGACGGUACCUGAGGAAUAAGCAUCGGCUAACUCCGUGCCAGCAGCCGCGGUAAUACGGAGGAUGCAAGCGUUAUCCGGAAUGAUUGGGCGUAAAGCGUCCGCAGGUGGCGGUGUAAGUCUGCUGUUAAAGAGUCUAGCUCAACUAGAUAAGAGCAGUGGAAACUACAUAGCUAGAGUACGUUCGGGGCAGAGGGAAUUCCUGGUGUAGCGGUGAAAUGCGUAGAGAUCAGGAAGAACACCAGUGGCGAAGGCGCUCUGCUAGGCCGUAACUGACACUGAGGGACGAAAGCUAGGGGAGCGAAUGGGAUUAGAUACCCCAGUAGUCCUAGCCGUAAACGAUGGAUACUAGGCGUGGCUUGUAUCGACCCGAGCCGUGCCGUAGCUAACGCGUUAAGUAUCCCGCCUGGGGAGUACGCCGGCAACGGUGAAACUCAAAGGAAUUGACGGGGGCCCGCACAAGCGGUGGAGUAUGUGGUUUAAUUCGAUGCAACGCGAAGAACCUUACCAAGGCUUGACAUGUCGCGAAUCCUGGUGAAAGCCGGGAGUGCCUUCGGGAGCGCGAACACAGGUGGUGCAUGGCUGUCGUCAGCUCGUGUCGUGAGAUGUUGGGUUAAGUCCCGCAACGAGCGCAACCCUCGUUUUUAGUUGCCAGCAUUAAGUUGGGCACUCUAGAGAGACUGCCGGUGACAAACCGGAGGAAGGUGGGGAUGACGUCAAGUCAGCAUGCCCCUUACGCCUUGGGCUACACACGUACUACAAUGCUCCGGACAGAGGGCAGCAAGCAUGCGAAUGCAAGCAAAUCCCGGAAACCGGAGCUCAGUUCAGAUCGCAGGCUGCAACUCGCCUGCGUGAAGGAGGAAUCGCUAGUAAUUGCAGGUCAGCAUACUGCAGUGAAUUCGUUCCCGGGCCUUGUACACACCGCCCGUCACACCAUGGAAGCUGGUAGUGCCCGAAGUCAUUACUCCAACCUUUCGGGGGAUAG
RNAcentral lists this ribosomal RNA (1065 nucleotides) under Nostoc sp. Kosowo1. RNAcentral describes it as "bacterial SSU rRNA". It matches the Rfam family "Bacterial small subunit ribosomal RNA", at positions 373 to 1453 of the family's 1533-position model. The record is from RNAcentral. Lineage: Bacteria; Bacillati; Cyanobacteriota; Cyanophyceae; Nostocales; Nostocaceae.